Molecule: long non-coding RNA, 191 nt
Organism: Silurus meridionalis
Lineage: Eukaryota; Metazoa; Chordata; Actinopteri; Siluriformes; Siluridae
Exons: 3
Source: RefSeq, a predicted model, not a curated record
AUUUGAUUUUAUGUUUAUGCUGUGUGGAUAAAGCCUUGAAACUAUUUUCAUGAUGGCUAGAAAAUGAGAGAAUUUCCUGGAGGAGUCAUGCUUUUCUAAAAUCUACACUCAAAACCUACAAAAAGGGGUCACCAAAAUCAAAUCAACUCCAUGAAGAUCUGUUUUACAUGGUUUGAAGUGGACGAUCUCCU